Molecule: ribosomal RNA, 495 nt
Filed under: uncultured bacterium
Lineage: Bacteria
Description: bacterial SSU rRNA
Rfam family: Bacterial small subunit ribosomal RNA
Source: RNAcentral
ACGAACGCUGGCGGCGUGCCUAAUACAUGCAAGUCGAGCGGAACUUAGAAAGCUUGCUUUCUAAGUUUAGCGGCGGACGGGUGAGUAACACGUGGGCAACCUGCCUAUAAGACUGGGAUAACUUCGGGAAACCGGAGCUAAUACUGGAUAAUAUAAAAGAUCACAUGGUCUUUAUUGAAAGAUGGCUUCGGCUAUCACUUAUAGAUGGGCCCGCGGCGCAUUAGCUAGUUGGUGAGGUAAUGGCUCACCAAGGCGACGAUGCGUAGCCGACCUGAGAGGGUGAUCGGCCACACUGGGACUGAGACACGGCCCAGACUCCUACGGGAGGCAGCAGUAGGGAAUCUUCCGCAAUGGACGAAAGUCUGACGGAGCAACGCCGCGUGAGCGAUGAAGGCCUUCGGGUCGUAAAGCUCUGUUGUUAGGGAAGAACAAGUAUCGUUCGAAUAGGGCGGUACCUUGACGGUACCUAACCAGAAAGCCACGGCUAACUACGUG